GACCAAAGACAAUGGCAGGAAACACACGGCGACACAAGAGCGCAGUUGUUGUAACUUUUUGCAGUCUUAAAGCGCAUGUGCGUAAAAGAAAUAGUCUGUUAAAUGUGGCAUGAACCUGGAACAAGGAGCGAAAAAGAGAGGAGAAAUCAAGUGUGUCAUAAGCUUUGGUAACGCACAUUCACACACACAUCCAUGAUCUUAAAAACCCCCUGAAGGCUUCCUUUGAAACUUUAACUCAUUUGAGCGCUACUAAUGGUUUAUGCAAUCAGAUCCAGUGGCUGUUCCACCCCCCAGGGCGGCAUGAUUGACUUGGAAAUGUACGGUAUGAAACGCAAGCUCAAAAUAAAAUACGCACUGCUCCCCCGUUCCUACAGUACGGCUAGAAUUUGCUUCACGCCGUAUAGACACAGCGCCGGCGGUAUUAUCUGGGAGAGAAAUCAUGUUUAUAGAAAGGGGGAUUGUAGUGAAUGACACACAUAAGCUGCUAGGAGGAUGGGGGAAGAACAAGGUUCUGCGAGGACGUCGUGGAGCCUUCCAAAUGUCGGGGGGGUAUUUUAAGGGCUGAGGUUAACUCUGUAGUGAAGCUGCAUAAUAAUUCAGACGGGGUUCCAUUUUUUUCUUUUUUUUUUUAAAGCGCUAGCUCUAUAUUGUGUGUCGGUGGGUGCACUGAGACGGAGCGGCAUUUGGAGACAUAAGUCACCCAGGAACGCUCCUCCGACUGCGGUUAAUUUUUUCCCCCCACACACACUGUCUCACUGCUGCAGGAUGUCUGGAGCGGAGUUUAUUUUAGAAUUGGAAAUGAAGAAUGUGUGUCAAUUCCCGGUAUUCCACUGUAUAGGGUGUGCGUAGCAGCUGUACAGAAAGAAGACAUUUAGUAUGCUUUUGAAAAACAAGCAGAAUACAUUUGCAAUUAUAAUGGUAUGAUUAAAUAUUAUGCUAGUUUAGUUUUUUGUAAGAUUGAUUGUGCUUACAAGAAAUAUAAAAGUGGUUUGUUCUUAAUAUAACAUCAAAAAAAUUGUUUGUUAAUAUACUACAAAAUGCUCACUGGACACUGUCAGAAUUCUUUAAAGAUCAGUAGCAUUGAAAAAAAAAAAAAAACAUUCUAAAUGUAGGCUCUCUGUACACCACACUUCUAAAUCUGGACUUCACAAAACAGUUUACCCUGACAGAAACCAAAGUGAGUCAGAGUGUCUGAAAAAUGUCCACCAAAUGCACUACAUUCCAGUCCGAACAUAAAUGUUUCCACCCUCCACCCUGGUCCUCACAACUGAGCAGAGAGUUCCUCUAGGCCUUCCUGAGCCGUCUUCUCCUCAGAGGCUUCUUGAGUGCCACCCCCUGAAAAACCUGGGGGUGUUUCCACUGGGAACCAGAGGUCUCCACUGUCCACUCCAGUUGACCCAGGUGCAUAAACCCCUGGCUACUUAAACUAAGCCGAUCCCUGAUAAUGGACAGAACUAACACACUCCAGUCACACUGCGUCGGCUUGUAAGUACUCCAGGCAGUGAUA
This is a long non-coding RNA of Clupea harengus (Atlantic herring), 1507 nucleotides long. NCBI's taxonomy places the organism in Eukaryota, Metazoa, Chordata, Actinopteri, Clupeiformes, Clupeidae. The record is from Ensembl.